ACAGGUCGUAUUUUAAAACCCAAAACAAAAUAAAGGAAAACUAAGGCCAUAACCGAUCACCACAAGACAAUAAUAAUAAACACAUUAUUAUUAUUUUUAAUUCUUUUAAUUAAUUAAAACCAAAUUAAAUUUCGGCGACCGAUCACACUACGCAGAGUUAGCCGACGUCGUUUUUCGCAUCAACACUUGAUACUUUAAAGCACAACUCUU
Molecule: long non-coding RNA, 210 nt
Filed under: Lathyrus oleraceus (garden pea)
Lineage: Eukaryota; Viridiplantae; Streptophyta; Magnoliopsida; Fabales; Fabaceae
Description: Pisum sativum (pea) long non-coding RNA (PSAT_LNC007509)
Source: RNAcentral